RNAcentral lists this ribosomal RNA (408 nucleotides) under uncultured bacterium. Its description in RNAcentral is "partial 16S ribosomal RNA". It matches the Rfam family "Bacterial small subunit ribosomal RNA", at positions 28 to 526 of the family's 1533-position model. The record is from RNAcentral.
GACGAACGCUGGCGGCGUGCUUAACACAUGCAAGUCGAACGAAGUGGCGAACGGGUGAGUAACGCGUAAUCAACCUGCCCUUCAGAGGGGGACAACAGUUGGAAACGACUGCUAAUACCGCAUACUGAAGUAGUGGCUUGCGUCGGAUUAGCUAGUUGGAGGGGUAACUGCCCCCCAAGGCGAUGAUCAGUAGCCGGUCUGAGAGGAGGAACGGCCACAUUGGGACUGAGACACGGCACAGACGCCGACGGGAGGAAGCAGUGGGGAAUCGUCCGCAAUGGACGAAAGUCUGACGGAGCAACGCCGCGUGAGUGAGGACGGCCUUCGGGUUGGAAAGCUCUGUUAAGCGGGACGCGGUACCGGAAGAGAAAGCCACGGCUAACUACGUGCCAGCAGCCGCGGUAAUAC